This is a transfer RNA of 74 nucleotides. It matches the Rfam family "tRNA". From Rfam's summary of the family: Transfer RNA (tRNA) molecules are approximately 80 nucleotides in length. The record is from Rfam.
GGCCGUCUAGCUCAGUUGGUUAGAGCGUCGUGCUAAUAACGCGAAGGUCUUGGGUUCGACCCCCACGAUGGCCA